ACCUGCCCUAUGAUAUAUUUAUUAAAUGGCCGCGAUAAUUUGAUCGUGCAAAGGUAGCAUAAUAAUUAGUUUUUUAAUUGGGAACUGGAAUGAAAGGUCGAACGAGAAAAAAACUGUCUCAAUUUAAAUUUAAUUAGAAUUUUAUUUUUAAGUUAAAAAGCUUAAAUAUAUUUAAAAGACGAGAAGACCCUAUAGAGUUUUAUAUUUUUAUUUUUAUUUUUUAGUUUUAGAAUUUAAUUUUAAAAUUGGUUUAAAAAUAUUUGGUUGGGGUGAUUGAAAAAUUAAAUAAACUUUUUUUAUUUAGUAAAACAUUGAUAUAUGAUUAAAUGAUCCAUUAUUAAUGAUUAUAAGAUUAAAUUACCUUAGGGAUAACAGCGUAAUUUUUUUUGAGAGUUCUUAUCGAAAAAGAAGUUUGCGACCUCGAUGUUGGAUUAAAAUUAACUUUUGGUGUAGAAGCUGAA
This 461-nucleotide ribosomal RNA is filed under the name Onthophagus rectecornutus. Its description in RNAcentral is "partial large subunit ribosomal RNA". It matches the Rfam family "Bacterial large subunit ribosomal RNA", at positions 1857 to 2566 of the family's 2925-position model. Lineage: Eukaryota; Metazoa; Arthropoda; Insecta; Coleoptera; Scarabaeidae. The record is from RNAcentral.